This 254-nucleotide ribosomal RNA is filed under the name uncultured bacterium. RNAcentral's name for it is "partial 16S ribosomal RNA". It matches the Rfam family "Bacterial small subunit ribosomal RNA", at positions 524 to 776 of the family's 1533-position model. The record is from RNAcentral.
UACGAAGGGGGCUAGCGUUGCUCGGAAUUACUGGGCGUAAAGCGCACGUAGGCGGUCUUUUAAGUCGGGGGUGAAAUCCUGGAGCUCAACUCCAGAACUGCCUUCGAUACUGGAAGACUCGAGUCCGGGAGAGGUGAGUGGAACUGCGAGUGUAGAGGUGAAAUUCGUAGAUAUUCGCAAGAACACCAGUGGCGAAGGCGGCUUACUGGUCCGGUUCUGACGCUGAGGCGCGAAAGCGGUGGGGAGCAAACAGG